RNAcentral lists this ribosomal RNA (254 nucleotides) under uncultured bacterium. RNAcentral describes it as "partial 16S ribosomal RNA". It matches the Rfam family "Bacterial small subunit ribosomal RNA", at positions 524 to 776 of the family's 1533-position model. The record is from RNAcentral.
UACGUAGGGUGCGAGCGUUGUCCGGAAUUACUGGGCGUAAAGAGCUCGUAGGUGGUUUGUCGCGUUGUUCGUGAAAACCGGAGGCUCAACCUCUGGCGUGCGGGCGAUACGGGCAGACUUGAGUACUGCAGGGGAGACUGGAAUUCCUGGUGUAGCGGUGGAAUGCGUAGAGAUCCGGAAGAACACCGGUGGCGAAGGCGGCCUGCUGGGCAGUAGCUGACACUGAGGCGCGACAGCGUGGGGGAGCAAACAGG